AGAGUUUGAUCCUGGCUCAGGACGAACGCUGGCGGCGUGCUUAACACAUGCAAGUCGAACGAGGCUUUGGAAGCUUGCUUUUAAAGCCGAGUGGCAAACGGGUGAGUAACGCGUAAACAACCUGCCUUCAGGAUGGGGACAACAGACGGAAACGACUGCUAAUACCGAAUACCUUCCAAUGGCCGCAUGACCGAUGGAAGAAAGGGUGGCCUCUACCUGUAAGCUAUCGCCUGAAGAGGGGUUUGCGUCUGAUUAGGCAGUUGGCGGGGUAACGGCCCACCAAACCGACGAUCAGUAGCCGGUCUGAGAGGAUGAACGGCCACACUGGAACUGAGACACGGUCCAGACUCCUACGGGAGGCAGCAGUGGGGAAUCUUCCGCAAUGGACGAAAGUCUGACGGAGCAACGCCGCGUGAGUGAAGACGGCCUUCGGGUUGUAAAGCUCUUUGAUCCGGGACGAACGGCAGGACAGCUAAUACCUGUUCUGAAUGACGGUACCGGAAGAACAAGCCACGGCUAACUACGUGCCAGCAGCCGCGGUAAUACGUAGGUGGCAAGCGUUGUCCGGAAUUAUUGGGCGUAAAGCGCGCGCAGGCGGCUUUUUAAGUCCAUCUUAAAAGCGUGGGGCUCAACCCCAUGAUGGGAUGGAAACUGGAGAGCUGGAGUAUCGGAGAGGAAAGCGGAAUUCCUAGUGUAGCGGUGAAAUGCGUAGAGAUUAGGAAGAACACCGGUGGCGAAGGCGGCUUUCUGGACGACAACUGACGCUGAGGCGCGAAAGCGUGGGGAGCAAACAGGAUUAGAUACCCUGGUAGUCCACGC
This 819-nucleotide ribosomal RNA is filed under the name uncultured Dialister sp. RNAcentral's name for it is "bacterial SSU rRNA". It matches the Rfam family "Bacterial small subunit ribosomal RNA", at positions 8 to 800 of the family's 1533-position model. The record is from RNAcentral. Lineage: Bacteria; Bacillati; Bacillota; Negativicutes; Veillonellales; Veillonellaceae.